RNAcentral lists this transfer RNA (72 nucleotides) under Chryseobacterium viscerum. RNAcentral's name for it is "tRNA-OTHER". It matches the Rfam family "tRNA". From Rfam's summary of the family: Transfer RNA (tRNA) molecules are approximately 80 nucleotides in length. Their secondary structure includes four short double-helical elements and three loops (D, anti-codon, and T loops). Further hydrogen bonds mediate the characteristic L-shaped molecular structure. tRNAs have two regions of fundamental functional importance: the anti-codon, which is responsible for specific mRNA codon recognition, and the 3' end, to which the tRNAs corresponding amino acid is attached (by aminoacyl-tRNA synthetases). tRNAs cope with the degeneracy of the genetic code in two manners: having more than one tRNA (with a specific anti-codon) for a particular amino acid; and 'wobble' base-pairing, i.e. permitting non-standard base-pairing at the 3rd anti-codon position. The record is from RNAcentral. Lineage: Bacteria; Pseudomonadati; Bacteroidota; Flavobacteriia; Flavobacteriales; Weeksellaceae.
GGAAACAGUAGUUUAACUGGAAAAACAUUCCACUCAAAGGAAAGUCGCUGGUUCAAACCCAGCAUGUUUCUA